RNAcentral lists this ribosomal RNA (376 nucleotides) under uncultured eukaryote. Its description in RNAcentral is "partial 18S ribosomal RNA". It matches the Rfam family "Eukaryotic small subunit ribosomal RNA", at positions 592 to 976 of the family's 1831-position model. The record is from RNAcentral.
CAAGAGCGUAUAUUAAAGUUGCCGCGGUUAAAAAGCUCGUAGUUGGAUUUCAGUCUAGGAAGGUUAACUCGCCGAAAGGUUGUACGUUGAUUUUCCUCAGACUUCGUCAGAAGCUCGUGCUGCACUUAACUGUGUGGUACGAUGUUCUGACCUUUUACCUUGAGGAAAGUAGAGUGUUUCAGGCAGGCUACCCAGCUUGAAUACAUUAGCAUGGAAUAAUGAAAUGGAUCUCGGUUCGAUUUCGUUAGUUCUAGAGCUGAGGUGAUGAUCAAUAGGAACAGGCGAAGGUAUUCGUACUUGAGAGUGAGGAGUGAAAUCCGAUGAUCUCUUAAAGACGAUCCGAGGCGAAAGCAUUUGUCAAGGAUGUUUUCAUUGA